UGGGGAAUUUUGGACAAUGGGGGAAACCCUGAUCCAGCCAUCCCGCGUGUGCGAUGAAGGCCUUCGGGUUGUAAAGCACUUUUGGCAGGAAAGAAACGUCAUGGGUUAAUACCCCGUGAAACUGACGGUACCUGCAGAAUAAGCACCGGCUAACUACGUGCCAGCAGCCGCGGUAAUACGUAGGGUGCAAGCGUUAAUCGGAAUUACUGGGCGUAAAGCGUGCGCAGGCGGUUCGGAAAGAAAGAUGUGAAAUCCCAGAGCCCAACUUUGGAACUGCAUUUUUAACUACCGGGCUAGAGUGUGUCAGAGCGAGGUGGAAUUCCGCGUGUAACAGUGAAAUGCGUAGAUAUGCGGAGGAACACCGAUGGCGAAGGCAGCCUCCUGGGAUAACACUGACGCUCAUGCACGAAAGCGUGGGGAGCAAACAGG
RNAcentral lists this ribosomal RNA (429 nucleotides) under Acidobacteriota bacterium. RNAcentral's name for it is "Acidobacteria bacterium partial 16S ribosomal RNA". It matches the Rfam family "Bacterial small subunit ribosomal RNA", at positions 355 to 776 of the family's 1533-position model. The record is from RNAcentral. Lineage: Bacteria; Pseudomonadati; Acidobacteriota.